GAUGAACGCUGGCGGCGUGCCUAAUACAUGCAAGUCGAGCGAACAGACGAGGAGCUUGCUCCUCUGACGUUAGCGGCGGACGGGUGAGUAACACGUGGAUAACCUACCUAUAAGACUGGGAUAACUUCGGGAAACCGGAGCUAAUACCGGAUAAUAUAUUGAACCGCAUGGUUCAAUAGUGAAAGACGGUUUUGCUGUCACUUAUAGAUGGAUCCGCGCCGCAUUAGCUAGUUGGUAAGGUAACGGCUUACCAAGGCAACGAUGCGUAGCCGACCUGGGAGGGGGAUCGGCCACACUGGAACUGAAACGCGGUCCAGACUCCUACGGGAGGCAGCAGUAGGGAAUCUUCCGCAAUGGGCGAAAGCCUGACGGAGCAACGCCGCGUGAGUGAUGAAGGUCUUCGGAUCGUAAAACUCUGUUAUUAGGGAAGAACAAAUGUGUAAGUAACUAUGCACGUCUUGACGGUACCUAAUCAGAAAGCCACGGCUAACUACGUG
Molecule: ribosomal RNA, 497 nt
Filed under: uncultured bacterium
Lineage: Bacteria
Description: partial 16S ribosomal RNA
Rfam family: Bacterial small subunit ribosomal RNA
Source: RNAcentral